CAGCUGCGCGGUAAGCACAUUACGAACUAUUCUUUCGCCUUUUACUAAAGAAUACCGUGUGUUUGCCGCUUUUCAAGCGAAACAUAUAAAAUCAUGAUGAAGAGCUUAUGAAUAAGAGCUU
This 121-nucleotide small nuclear RNA is filed under the name Erythranthe guttata (spotted monkey flower). RNAcentral describes it as "Mimulus guttatus (spotted monkey flower) U5 spliceosomal RNA". It matches the Rfam family "U5 spliceosomal RNA". Rfam says of the family: U5 RNA is a component of both types of known spliceosome. The record is from Rfam by way of RNAcentral. Lineage: Eukaryota; Viridiplantae; Streptophyta; Magnoliopsida; Lamiales; Phrymaceae.